This 336-nucleotide unclassified non-coding RNA is filed under the name Hevea brasiliensis (rubber tree). Lineage: Eukaryota; Viridiplantae; Streptophyta; Magnoliopsida; Malpighiales; Euphorbiaceae. The record is from RNAcentral.
CAUGCUUUGUGGGGUAGCUAUGGCGCCACAAGCCAUUUCACAUUAUUCGAGAUUCCCUAAUUGGGUCCUUCACAGUUUUUCAACAAACAUAUACCAUUCAUACUUUUUGGAAAUUCUAGGAAAAGUUUUCCCUAACGUUGUUUUACUCUUCACUUUUUACUUCCAUAUUAAAUAGCUUCAUACCUAAACCAAGCACACACCUUUUUAAUUUGUAUUUUUUUUUCUAAUUAAUAUCUUUUUCUUUGAUGGAUAACUCCUAUUUUUUGUAAUAAAUAUAUUGGCGUCCCAAAAAUGGAGAGAGCUUAGAUUUUUCAUCUUCUUACAGGCCAAUCAAUG